GUCUCAGUGGCGUAGUGGUUAGCGCACGAGCCCCGGAUCGGCGCGAGUCGCGGUUUCGAGUCCCGCCUGAGGUG
RNAcentral lists this transfer RNA (74 nucleotides) under Nippostrongylus brasiliensis. It matches the Rfam family "tRNA". From Rfam's summary of the family: Transfer RNA (tRNA) molecules are approximately 80 nucleotides in length. Their secondary structure includes four short double-helical elements and three loops (D, anti-codon, and T loops). The record is from Rfam by way of RNAcentral. Lineage: Eukaryota; Metazoa; Nematoda; Chromadorea; Rhabditida; Heligmosomidae.